UGAAGAUUAAUUUUGAUGCAGCAUAUGACGGGAGAAUGGUCAAUCGACAGUGGGGAUAGUGGCUAGAAACAGUGAAGGAAAUGUUCUGUUAUCGUGUUUAGAGAUCCAUCAAAGAGUUGCAUAACUUUCGCUGUUGAAGCACUCGCGUGCCUGAAAGCGACUCAGAUCGGUAUUGAAAUGCAAUGGGAAAAAACCAUCAUUGAAGUAGAUUCGUUAUCAAUAAUAAAAAAGUGUAAAGGGAAAAGCUCAGAUAAAUCUUUGGUAGGUGCUUAUAUCCAUGAUAUUCAUCAGUUACUAUUAAAAACUCGGCAAUGCCGAUUUGAAUAUAUCCCAAGAACAGAAAACAACUUAGCGUAUAUUUUAACAAAUGAAACGUUGAGGAACAAGAAGGAAUCCUACCUGAUAGGAAGCGUUCCAGAAUCUGCAGCGGAGCAAGAGGAAAGGGAUAAGGUGAGAGAACCAAAUUGAAGUUUCGAAGAAGAAAAUAAAAUGGGGGAGUUUGAAAAGGGAUAUGAAUGGAUUUGAUGGAAAACACCCCAUUGGGAAUAUGGAAGCGUCUUAAUGAAGAAAUCUCAGAUGAAGAGACAAGACGGCAACAGAGCAGUUUUUAGAUUGGCA
RNAcentral lists this long non-coding RNA (618 nucleotides) under Gossypium barbadense (sea-island cotton). RNAcentral's name for it is "long non-coding RNA (GBAR_LNC007882)". The record is from RNAcentral. Lineage: Eukaryota; Viridiplantae; Streptophyta; Magnoliopsida; Malvales; Malvaceae.